GCCAGGCAUGGUGGUGCAUGCCUGUGGUCCCAGCUACUCAGGAGGCUGAGGCAGGAGGAUUGCUUGAGGCAAGGAGUUCCAGGCUGUAGUGAGCCAUGAUGGCACCACUGUACUCCAGCCUGGGCAAGAGAGUAAGACCCUGUCUCUU
Unclassified non-coding RNA from Pongo abelii (Sumatran orangutan), 148 nucleotides. It matches the Rfam family "Metazoan signal recognition particle RNA". Rfam says of the family: The signal recognition particle (SRP) is a universally conserved ribonucleoprotein. It is involved in the co-translational targeting of proteins to membranes. The record is from Ensembl. Lineage: Eukaryota; Metazoa; Chordata; Mammalia; Primates; Hominidae.